Molecule: ribosomal RNA, 253 nt
Filed under: uncultured bacterium
Lineage: Bacteria
Description: partial 16S ribosomal RNA
Rfam family: Bacterial small subunit ribosomal RNA
Source: RNAcentral
UACGAACCGUACAAACGUUAUUCGGAAUCACUGGGCUUAAAGGGCUCGUAGGCGGCCAACUAAGUCAGACGUGAAAUCCCUCGGCUUAACCGGGGAACUGCGUCUGAUACUGGAUGGCUUGAGUUUGGGAGAGGGAUGCGGAAUUCCAGGUGUAGCGGUGAAAUGCGUAGAUAUCAGGAAGAACACCGACGGCGAAGGCAGCUCGCUGGGACGGUACUGACGCUGAGGCGCGAAAGCGUGGGGAGCGAACAGG